This 497-nucleotide ribosomal RNA is filed under the name uncultured bacterium. Its description in RNAcentral is "partial 16S ribosomal RNA". It matches the Rfam family "Bacterial small subunit ribosomal RNA", at positions 28 to 507 of the family's 1533-position model. The record is from RNAcentral.
GAUGAACGCUGGCGGCGUGCCUAAUACAUGCAAGUCGAGCGAACGGACGAGAAGCUUGCUUCUCUGAUGUUAGCGGCGGACGGGUGAGUAACACGUGGAUAACCUACCUAUAAGACUGGGAUAACUUCGGGAAACCGGAGCUAAUACCGGAUGAUAUUUUUAACCGCAUGGUUCAAAAGUGAAAGACGGUCUUGCUGUCACUUAUAGAUGUAUCCGCGCUGCAUUAGCUAGUUGGUAAGGUAACGGCUUACCAAGGGAACGAUGCAUAGCCGACCUGAGAGGGUGAUCGGCCACACUGGAACUGAGACACGGUCAAGACUCCUACGGGAGGCAGCAGUAGGGAAUCUUCCGCAAUGGGCGAAAGCCUGACGGAGCAACGCCGCGUGAGUGAUGAAGGUCUUCGGAUCGUAAAACUCUGUUAUUAGGGAAGAACAUAUGUGUAAGUAACUGUGCACAUCUUGACGGUACCUAAUCAGAAAGCCACGGCUAACUACGUG